RNA transcript from Helicoverpa armigera (cotton bollworm), 2930 nucleotides. It is a transcript of the gene named apoptosis-inducing factor 1, mitochondrial, with no coding region annotated. The record is from RefSeq and is a predicted model, not a curated record. The transcript is spliced from 18 exons. Lineage: Eukaryota; Metazoa; Arthropoda; Insecta; Lepidoptera; Noctuidae.
AAAAAACCAUAUACCUAUCCCAAAAAGAAAAUUUCCAUCUCAUUCACUUUUUUUCCACACGCUGUCAGAAAACAAUUCCCUCAAAACUAAAUAACAUGCCGUACUUUACAAAAACAAUGUAAUUUUUAUAAUCAUAAGCUUAAAUUGGGUGUGUUUAUAAUUUUUAUAUUCUGAAGCAAAUUGAUGUGUCGGGAGUCAACAUGAUAGGUCCGUUUCGAUACUGCGCUCAAAUAAAGCACAUUAACCAUGCAUCGCUUGCGUUCAACAACAACUGUCUAGGGCAAGUCAUCAAAGGACUAGCGGGUCGUUUUAAUUAUUCACAAGAUAAGGGUGGGAGUGGGUGCUGCAAGGACAUCGCUCAGAGCUCCGCCGAGAGGAAAGUAGAGCCGUGGCCGAAGUCAGAGCCGCCGCAACAACCGUGGCGCGCGGAGUGCCCACAGGGGCCGCAGCCCCCCAACUACGACCCGUACAGGAUCAAAGUCCCCGACGUAGUCGUGCCGCCACUACCGCCCAGUAAUGUCAAGCCGAUGCUGGACUGCACCAAGGGUACUAACAAAGGGCAGUGCUCCCUGAAGCCGGUGGUGACGCCGGAGCCUCCCCCGCCGCCUCCGCCACCGAGCUUCCCUUGGAUGUAUUUUUGGGCGCUACUGUCAUUCUUCGGUGCGUUUGGUUUGUACGUGACACACCACACCCAAUCUACCAGCCGCUUGCAAGCGAUGAUAAAUACAGCAAAUUCCCCACAAGCGCACCUUGCCUACAGAAGAACUAUUAGAGUGAUGUAUAAAUUAUAUUUAUGGAGGAGAAUGCAGGAGGUAACGAAAGAAAAGCCUGUGUGGCGGCCUCGAAGGAAGAUGAAGCGGCCGUACAACGAGCGCGACAUUCCCGCUUGCGUUCAGUAUCUCAUAAUAGGCACGGGCGCCGCCGGGUGGGCCGCAUACAAGGCCAUUAUGGAACACGACAAAACUGCUAAGGUAUUCUUCGUAACGAAAGAAGAUUCCUUCCCCUACAAGCGGCCGCCGCUUAGUAAGGAAAUGUGGUUUGAAGAAGAUCCUCCUGACCCGAAGAUUUUGAAGUAUGUCGCAGACGGACGAAGACAAACAAUGUUUAAUGCAGAUUGCGGAGAUUUCUUAGAUCCCGUUGUAUUUUAUCGGAAAAAGACGGGCCCGGCGUUGUCGAUCGCGACGGGCUGGUGUGUGGUCCGACUGGACGCUGACGACCACGUGGCCUACGUCAAGACCAUGAGUGGGGAGCAUCCGAUAUAUUACGAGCGGUGUCUGUUGGCCCCCGGUUCAAAACCAAGAACUCUUGACAUCAUAAAAUCCGCUCCGAAGGCAGUACGGGAAAAAGUUUGCACCAUGCGUACAGUUAGGGAUUUGGAGCUAGCGUACAGGAAAGUCAAAGAAGCGAAGCAUGUAACAGUCAUAGGCGCCGGCCCUCUGGGCUGCGAGCUCGCGUGGCAUCUGGGCAAAAUGAAUAAAAUGAUGCCGUUAGAGGACGGGCCGGGCAGGGUGAUAACACACGUGUACAAGGACAAGGGCAUACUCUCGGGCAUCCUGCCGGAGUACCUCGGCGUGUGGGCCGCGGAGCUCAUCAAGUGCGAGGGUGUCACGCAAGUGCCCAAAGCUCAAGUAUACGAUGUGUUCGAGUCAGUAGACGGGAGACUCGAGCUCACGCUGUCUAACGGCCAGUCUUUAGUCACGGACUUCGCGUUCGUGGCAGUAGGCGCGGAGCCGCGCGUGGACCUGGCCGAGGGCUCGUACCUGGAGCGCGACGAGAUCAACGGCGGCUACCUGGUGAACACCGAGCUCGAGGCGCGGACGCACCUGUACAUCGCCGGCGACGCCGCCAGCUACUACUCGCAGGAGAAGGACACGCGCAUGCGCGCCGACCACGUCAUCAACGCCGAGGAGCAGGGCUACAUCGCCGGCUCCAACAUGACCGGCUACUGGAUGCCCUGCAACAUGGAGCCCAACUGGUGGGUGCGCCUCGGCGAUCUGCUGCAGAUGGAGGUAGUCGGCGAAGUGGGUGCAUGCAUGCCCAUCGUGGGGCUUUUCAAGGAAUGUACGGACGAAGAAUCCAUUAAGGAGGCCGAGACAAUGACCAACGCGGGCGAAAGGCAAGGCUGCUUCCAGAGCAGGAGCGCGGAGUACGUGAACCGGUACAAGCGCGGCCUGCUCUUCUACUUGCGCGACGAGGUGGUGGUCGGCUUUGUGUUCUGGAACAUGCCGGCCAUCGACGACCGCAGGGAAGUGGCCACUGAGUUGCUUCGCGCGAAGCCUACGUACCAAGACAUCAACGUGCUGGCGGAGCUACUGGGCUUCCCGAGCACACGAUGUGUGUACAAGAAGGACGAGGUAGUGGUCGCUGAAGUUGGGCCUUGUUUAACUAAUGACUGUAAACCCAAACCAACUUCGAAAAAAGAUUGUCCGACAAUAACGCGACACCGAUAUCCGUAGCGCCGUAUGGUCGUCUAGGGAACAUCACCGCGGUUCAGUUUUGUUGAGAAACGUUUGUAAACAUGAUCGCAUUCCGUAACUUGUGAACAUUAGCAGCCGCUCACUGGUCGCAAGCCGAGUCGCCGGCCUUACACCGCGGAUGACGCAAACAUUACAUAACUCGUUAACUGCUAACUUCGGUUAGAAGUUGACCGUUAUCAAAGAUACAAGACGUCACCUUACACGGCGACGCUUGCUAAUCUAAAUAAUCUAAACCUUUUGUAAACGAAUGUUACCAAACAACAUACUAAAUGUUACUCAACAAAUAGCAACUGCGGUGUGCUCCUUUAUCUCAUCAUACGUCUUACGGCCCUCGAAAAAAAAAGAGUAAAAAGUUGGAAAGUAUGGUAAAAAAAAAAAAUUUGCAAGAAAAGUUUUAAGGAAUUGUCUGUGUGAACAUAUUUUUUUUUGAUAUUGAAAGUUUUGAUUCAUUAA